RNAcentral lists this transfer RNA (73 nucleotides) under Cordylochernes scorpioides. RNAcentral's name for it is "tRNA-Val". The record is from RNAcentral. Lineage: Eukaryota; Metazoa; Arthropoda; Arachnida; Pseudoscorpiones; Chernetidae.
GUUUCUGUGGUGUAGGGGUUAUCACAUCCGCCUAACAUGCGGGAGGUUCCAGGUACGAGCCCUGGUAGAAACA